CAGCAGAGUUCAAUACACAGACCAUAAACUUUCCCUUUAUUCAACAUGCUCUCAUUAAACUAUAAUCUACUGUCUCUACUGUUUGUCUCUACUCUAACAGGUGUCAGCUGUGAACAACUGACUCCAGUCAAGGAUGAAGAGUUCGGUUCAGAAGGCAGCUCUGUUACUCUGUCCUACACAUACUCCAAAAAAGCUGAUGCCACUGAUUAUUUCUUCUGGUAUCAACAACAUCCAGGAAAACCACCACAGCUCCUCAUCUCUCACACAGGGAAAGGAGAAAUCUUAAAUCCAGGCUCUGGACUGACGGUUACUGUGAGUCGGGAUCAAACCCAAAUGGAUCUGCAGAUCUCCUCUGCUGCAGUGACAGACUCUGCUGUGUACUACUGUGCUGUGAGGCCCACAGUGACAGGAAACAGCACAACUCUGUACAAAAACACAAGCUGA
Non-coding RNA from Toxotes jaculatrix (banded archerfish), 444 nucleotides. Lineage: Eukaryota; Metazoa; Chordata; Actinopteri; Toxotidae. The record is from the annotation of a RefSeq genome assembly.